GGUUGAUCCUGCCAGUAGCAUAUGCUUGUCUCAAAGAUUAAGCCAUGCAUGUCCAAGUAUAAACAACUUUAUACAGCGAAACUGCGUACAGCUCAUUACAUCAGUUAUAAUUUCUUUGAAGGUUAACAAACUACAUGGGAUACCUAUGGUAACUCCAGAGCUAAUACAUGCGUCAAGUCUUGACUAGGUGGCAACAUCUGGGAGAGAUGUAUUUAUUAGAUUCCAGCCUGCUCGUUUUCAUUGGGGGUCAAACUUCAGUGGAAAUCGUUUUGGUGAUUCAUGGUAACUGUUU
RNAcentral lists this ribosomal RNA (292 nucleotides) under uncultured eukaryote. RNAcentral describes it as "partial 18S ribosomal RNA". It matches the Rfam family "Eukaryotic small subunit ribosomal RNA", at positions 6 to 265 of the family's 1831-position model. The record is from RNAcentral.